This 521-nucleotide ribosomal RNA is filed under the name uncultured Glomus. RNAcentral describes it as "SSU rRNA". It matches the Rfam family "Eukaryotic small subunit ribosomal RNA", at positions 569 to 1092 of the family's 1831-position model. The record is from RNAcentral. Lineage: Eukaryota; Fungi; Glomeromycota; Glomeromycetes; Glomerales; Glomeraceae.
AGCAGCCGCGGUAAUUCCAGCUCCAAUAGCGUAUAUUAAAGUUGCUGCAGUUAAAAAGCUCGUAGUUGAAUUUCGGGACCAAUAUGUCGGUCGUGCCUCGGUACGUACUGGCAUCGUUGGUUUCUCCCUUCUGACGAACCAUAAUGUCAUUUAUUUGGUGUCGUGGGAAAUCAGGACUGUUACUUUGAAAAAAUUAGAGUGUUUAAAGCAGGCUCACGCUUGAAUACAUUAGCAUGGAAUAAUGAAAUAGGACGUUUGAUUCUAUUUUGUUGGUUUCUAGGAUCGACGUAAUGAUUAAUAGGGAUAGUUGGGGGCAUUAGUAUUCAAUUGUCAGAGGUGAAAUUCUUGGAUUUAUUGAAGACUAACUACUGCGAAAGCAUUUGCCAAGGAUGUUUUCAUUAAUCAAGAACGAAAGUUAGGGGAUCGAAGACGAUCAGAUACCGUCGUAGUCUUAACCAUAAACUAUGCCGACUAGGGAUCGGAUGAUGUUAAUUUUUUAAUGACUCAUUCGGCGCCUUACG